RNAcentral lists this ribosomal RNA (511 nucleotides) under uncultured bacterium. RNAcentral describes it as "bacterial SSU rRNA". It matches the Rfam family "Bacterial small subunit ribosomal RNA", at positions 389 to 914 of the family's 1533-position model. The record is from RNAcentral.
GAGCAACGCCGCGUGGAGGAUGACGGUUUUCGGAUUGUAAACUCCUUUUCUCAGGGAAGAGUGAGGACGGUACCUGAGGAAUAAGUCACGGCUAACUACGUGCCAGCAGCCGCGGUAAUACGUAGGUGGCAAGCGUUAUCCGGAAUUACUGGGCGUAAAGCGCACGCAGGUGGCUGCUUAAGUCUGACGUGAAAGCUCCUGGCUUAACUGGGAGAGGUCGUUGGAGACUGGGCGGCUUGAGGCGAGGAGAGGGGUGUAGAAUUCCCGGUGUAGUGGUGGAAUGCGUAGAGAUCGGGAGGAAUACCAGUGGCGAAAGCGGCACCCUGGCCUUGGCCUGACGCUCAGGUGCGAAAGCGUGGGGAGCGAACGGGAUUAGAUACCCCCGGUAGUCCACGCGGUAAACGAUGAAUACUAGGUGUAGGUGGUUUCAAAACUAUCUGUACCGCAGCUAACGCGAUAAGUAUUCCGCCUGGGGAGUACGACCGCAAGGUUAAAACUCAAAGGAAUUGAC